AUGAUUCUUAACGACUUGUUCUAUCCUCAAGAUGCGGAGUUAAACUCUGAAGAUAAACAUUGCGCUAGACUUUAGAGAUUUCAAAGUGUGGAAGUACAACUCUAGUGGAGCUUAUACAGCAAAAUCCGGGUACUGGUUAGCCUUAAAAUUGUGUUAAAAAAAAGGUUAGCCUUAAAAAUAUCUAAAUCUGAAUUAAAAAGUCUGGCCAUACCGGUUGGAUUUGGUAUGGGAUCUAUAUCCCCAUUUUUUUGGUAUAUGGUAUGUAAUCCUUAUUGUUUCAUACUGUGUUUCGAAGCUUAUAGUAAUAUGGAGAGGUUAUAGUGGAAAACAAUUGUGCGCAUUUUGUACCUGUUUUACAGAAUGUCAGGAUAUUGAUGGUC
This 380-nucleotide long non-coding RNA is filed under the name Brassica napus (rape). RNAcentral describes it as "long non-coding RNA (BNAP_LNC004983)". The record is from RNAcentral. Lineage: Eukaryota; Viridiplantae; Streptophyta; Magnoliopsida; Brassicales; Brassicaceae.